UACGAAGGGGGCUAGCGUUGCUCGGAAUCACUGGGCGUAAAGCGCACGUAGGCGGUUUGCUAAGUCAGGGGUGAAAUCCUGGAGCUCAACUCCAGAACUGCCUUUGAUACUGGCGAUCUCGAGUUCGGGAGAGGUGAGUGGAACUGCGAGUGUAGAGGUGAAAUUCGUAGAUAUUCGCAAGAACACCAGUGGCGAAGGCGGCUCACUGGCCCGAUACUGACGCUGAGGUGCGAAAGCGUGGGGAGCAAACAGG
This 253-nucleotide ribosomal RNA is filed under the name uncultured bacterium. RNAcentral's name for it is "partial 16S ribosomal RNA". It matches the Rfam family "Bacterial small subunit ribosomal RNA", at positions 524 to 776 of the family's 1533-position model. The record is from RNAcentral.